GGAACACUCAUCAAUUCCUAUUGAUGACACUGCUGAAAGGUGGAGUUCAGCGAGUGCCUGGUGUGGUCCCUUCCUCCUCCUUCCUGAAGAUGCAGACUUUUGCAUCUACCCCCUGUUCCGGUUGUCUGCAGCCUGGUGCCUGGACCUGCACCCUGAUGCCUCAGCCUGGUGCCUCUCCAGGAGCAUCCCCUCCACAUGACCACCAUGUGCUCCCUUUGGUGGAUGCUGCCCCAUUUCAGGGGGCUUGGGGAGCCAGAUCAACCUGGGAAAGAGAAGCAGAGCAAGUUUUGCCAUGAUCUGGAAGGCUUCAGGCACCUCCCCUUCAUCAUCACAUCUCAGGUUGAUCCCUGAGGGUGGGUACCUCCAUGGCCAAGGUGCCUGUGUGGGAAAGGUCCCAGCUGGGCCCUGGCCAAGCCAGAAAUGCAAAUAAUGAUGGUCCCAAACAAUGUGCCUUUCGAUGCUGCUUGCAGUAUCCAUUUUAACCAGACAAAUGCCAGCCUGGUGCCAUCUGGUUACAAGAGAUACUAAAAGCCUCAGUGAGGAGCACAGAGAAGCUGAGGGGAUAUUACCAGUUGUUACAGGUUGCAAAGGAGGAGGUUCUUUUUAGCCUGGCUUUUCACACUCAGAAAUGAGCACAAAGGAUUCUGGUAAUGAUGAGGACUGAGGAAAUACUCCCUCUGUGGCAGCAGGACAAGCAUCCUUGCCUCUUGCAGUGCCUCCUUUCUCUGGGGGAAGGGCAGGCAGGAGCAAAUGCUGGGUUGGAUUUUAUGGUAUGUUUUCAAUUAGAUUCUCUUUAAUUGACUAACACCUUCCCCUGAGCCAUCUUGCUCUGCUCAGAGACAAAAUACCACGGAAUUGGCCCAUUUUCCAAGAGCACUGUGGUAUUUCCUCUCUUCCUGCACAUAAAUAACCCCCAUGCAGGCUUGGCUACCUGCUUGCAGCUACUAGAAAUAGCCAGAAAAAAAAGAGGACCAGAUUCAUAACUCGAAGCAAUCAGAAGCCAGAAGAGCUCUGUCCCUUCUGCAUUCUAAGGAGCACUUUUAAUGCUUGCAGGGGAUGAUUCCUGGAGAUCUUUGGUCUUUUCCACCCUGCUCCUUUCACAGCAUGAAACUAAAGUCUCUGCUAAAUAACAUCUUCAGUUCUGAGGUGGUGCUUGAGAUACAAGUGGGUCCAUAGGACCUUACAGCUCCUUCAUUCUGGAGCAUGGCUGUGUCCGAGGAAGUUCCCAACUCGAUGCUCAGCUUCUGGGUGCUGUUUCCAGGCAGUGGCACCGGGAGCACGGCAGAUGAGAUGUCGCUCUGUUUACUUACACGUACUGUGCACAAACUGCCCAUUACUGGCACUGCAAAGUUCCUGGCUGCAGGAGGCACAGCAUCGUCUUUCAAAAGGCUCUAAUGAAAGUGGGUCAGACAUUUUCCCUUCCUGGGGCAAUCCUUUAGCAUAAGCAGGGAUUUAAGUGUGCACAAUUCCCAUUAUCCACAAUUGUUAGACUCUUUCUCACAAAGAAAGGGCUCCGUAAUUUGAGCAGAUCUGUCAAAUGCACACACAGCGAUGAAAAUGGCCUAUUAGAUGAUAGGGGGCUGCCCUUUCAGUGCUGAGGAAGUGCUCAGCCCUCCUGGGAGAGGAUGAUUCCAAUCCUGCACUGAGAAACUGGGCUUGAUCUUGAAAGAAACACUUCUGGAGUAGUCUUUUCAUAGGGACAUGCAUCUGCUCUGCUUAUUUUGGUACAGGGUAGAGCCCUGCUUGUACCUGGGCUUCUUCUACAGCCAUGGAGAUGGUUUCAGGUAUGACCUGACUGUUCCUGAGCUUUGCAACAAAACCAGGCUAGCACAAAGCAGACCUUCCACCCAGCCAGAAGCUAUGUGAUGCAUCUCCCAUGCAGAGAGCAGGGCAGUGGGUUCAGUGCCUGCAUUCAGGAGCUGCGUGACAAGGGAAUGUCUGGACCUUGUCCAGGCCACUGGCAGCGGACCAUCAGACAUCCAGAAAUACGGUACAACAUCACCCAAAACAGCGAGGGAAUACGUUAAAGUAGGAGAAUGUCUGCCAGAUGCAAGUGUGUGUAAGCCCCUGAGAAGCUGAGCUGGAAGGUAUUUUAAAGAUGCAUCAAAGAGCCCUGUGAGUGACCAGUCUGAAAUUGCUUCCCUGUCUCGGGCAUUAACAUUUGGCAUAAUUUCUGCUUUCACUACAGACAUUAGAAUAAGAAACAGAAAAUGGGAACAGAACUGGAUAUGUUUUGAAAAAUCCAGCCCCUGUAGUGGCCUUAAAAAUCACAGGCAAGUUAUAAACCUGCCCACUGCGGUGGAAUUUGGGAGAGUGAAAAGUUUCAGGGCACUUCAGGAGGGAUUUUGAUUCCAAGCUGAGUUUCUCCAACAGGUCUUUCAAGGAAAAUUGAUGGGAGUUUUGCCUUUCCAGCCACUGGCCUUGCUUGGAGGUGCCACUGAGUUUAUUACUGAUUUAAAUGUUCUCCCAGCUUGUAAGAGAAUGAGUUAUUGAGCACCUCUCCCCAUACCUUCCAGUGAUCCACCCCGUGGCUCCGGGUCUUCGAGGAGCUACCUUCAUAAGGGACUGUAAAUUACAUUUUUCAGGUAUUUACAAAGGGUUUACGAUGAUCUCAAGGCUUGAUCCGAAAAAGCCAUGAACACAAUGGGCUUGGACUUAAUGCCUUUCUGAUGAAGGUGCAGCUAUCGGCUAACUUCAUAACCAGAAGGAAACCUUUGGGUUUGCUCUGGAUCUUCUUCAGAUCCACUUGCCCGCUUGUAGCCAUUACCCAGUGAAAAGCAAGGGGGGAACCAGCUAAAUAAGAACCUUCUUCAGUUGUCUGUUUUUGAUUCAUCUCCGUAUUUCUAAAUCUCACAAGUGCUUUUUAUUUAAAUAAGGAGGCUAAUGAAAGCUGUCUGAGUGGGACAAUUAACCUCAGUCUGAACAGGUCAUUAGAAACAAUGGAGAACUUGAGGCACUCACCCUGGACCAGCAUGGAAACCAGCCAAAUGAGGUAGAUGAGGAGAUUGAUCAUUUUAAAACAAAUAUAAUUUGCUUGAUUUGUUUUCUUCUCUGUCUCUAAUAGCAAAAUUGCUUUGAAGACAAAUAGUAGCCCCUGUUCAUGUUCUUACAUUUACAGGAGUCACUGUCUGCCGAUCCUCAGACUGAAUUGUGUGAUUUCAGUGUGCGUGCAAAUAACACGAGACAACUUCAGCAGCCUGGGAUGAUGUUUUGGGGAAACACUGCUCACAUCCAUUGUGGUCAGAGAGGUACCUUGUGGUCAGAGAGGUACCAGUUGCCCCUUUCACUUCUGAGCCACUCAUGUGACUCAGUAUGUUCCUCUUCUAAUGUAGACCAUCACAGUGACUGGUCUUGGCUGCAAGGUCUCUCCUUUGGGGCAUCACCUUACCCAGAGACUCUGUAGUAUUACAGACUUUGUAUUCCAUACUUGUCCUUUAUGAUCAUUUUAACCACAGGAGGAAGUGUCUCCAUAUUAGAGUUUGGUUUGUGGCUGCCAGCAAAUCCCACAGCAAU
Long non-coding RNA from Pezoporus flaviventris, 3513 nucleotides. RefSeq lists it as uncharacterized. NCBI's taxonomy places the organism in Eukaryota, Metazoa, Chordata, Aves, Psittaciformes, Psittacidae. The record is from RefSeq and is a predicted model, not a curated record. The transcript has 3 exons.